UCCUACGGGAGGCAGCAGUGAGGAAUAUUGGUCAAUGGAGGCAACUCUGAACCAGCCAAGUCGCGUGAAGGAAGACUGCCCUAAGGGUUGUAAACUUCUUUUGUAAGGGAAUAAAGUGUAGUACGUGUACUAUUUUGCAUGUACCUUACGAAUAAGGAUCGGCUAACUCCGUGCCAGCAGCCGCGGUAA
This 189-nucleotide ribosomal RNA is filed under the name uncultured Porphyromonadaceae bacterium. Its description in RNAcentral is "partial 16S ribosomal RNA". It matches the Rfam family "Bacterial small subunit ribosomal RNA", at positions 337 to 523 of the family's 1533-position model. Lineage: Bacteria; Pseudomonadati; Bacteroidota; Bacteroidia; Bacteroidales; Porphyromonadaceae. The record is from RNAcentral.